This 216-nucleotide ribosomal RNA is filed under the name Triticum aestivum (bread wheat). RNAcentral's name for it is "partial small subunit ribosomal RNA". The record is from RNAcentral. Lineage: Eukaryota; Viridiplantae; Streptophyta; Magnoliopsida; Poales; Poaceae.
AUGGAUUGUAACCUCAAAACAAUUUUUUGGAAUGUUCGUGGUCUUAACUCCGGCGCUAAGCGCACCGCCGUCCGCAGCGUGAUCUCCGCUGCCGCGCCUACCAUAGUGUGUCUCCAAGAGACAAAGCUCGCUCAUGUCUCCGACGCCAUUGUCUUGGACACGCUCGGUCCGUCCUUUGAGGACUAUUUCUUCCUCCCCGCGGAUGGCACACGCGGU